CCUUGAGACCCUGGGAGGGACUGAGUUCCAGAUGUGUCUUUUAAUAAGAUAAAUUCUUCAUUAUGGAAGUAGUUGAAUAAAGCAUGUGAUUACUACAGCAAUUUACACAUCAGAUGUAAAGUAGAAUUACCUUUGCUCCAUUUCUAUGUAAGUGAAAAUAAGAUUUGUUAAGUCCAAUACAAAAUGUAUGAAAGACUUGAUAUUGUAUUCAUCGUUCACCUCUUUGCAGUUAAAAUAUGCAAGGAAGUACAAUUAACUAAUGGAGGCUGAUCUAGGUCAGUAAAGCCACCAACAUUUAAGUGUUAGCUUUUAAAGAGAUCUUUAUGUGACAGAACAGCAGAGAGCUUUUGGAAUUAAGAACAUAGAUAUUUACAAACUUGUGAAACCAGGGUCUUAAACUUCAGAAUCCAUAAUAUCAUGCAGGAGAUUGGAUAUCUUUUUUGUUAUGAAUAGUCUCAGAUUGUGACUCAUUGAGCUGAUAGAAGCCCUAGAAUGUAAGUUUAUUACAAGCUCCCAGGCUCCCAGUAUGAAACUAAUGUGAGUCAAAAAGUCACACUCUGAAAGACAUUGUCUGAGAGGAAAUGUAGCCUUAAAUUAGCCUUGAGGUAAUUCUUUGCUUAUAGCCUUCUCAGCAAUGAAAACCUCUAGAAUCCAUUAUAAGAACUUGUAGAAGACAGUGUGGCAAUUCCUCAGGGAUUUAGAACUAGAAGUACCAUUUGACCCAGCAAUCCCAUUACUGGGUAUAUACCCAAAGACACAUGCACACGUAUGUUUACUGCAGCACUAUUUACAAUAGCAAAGACUUGGAACCACCCCAAAUGCCCAUCAGUGAUAGACUGGAUAAAAAAAUGUGGCACAUUUACACCAUAGAAUACUAUGCAGCCAUAAAAAAGAGUGAGUUGAUAUCCUUAGUGGGGACAAGGAUGAAGCUGGAAACCAUCAUUCUCAGCAAACUAACACAGGAACAGAAAACCAAACACCACGUGUUCUCACUCAUAAGUGGGAGUUGAACAAUGAGAACACAUGGACACAGGGAGGGGAAUAGCACACACUGGGGCCUGUUGGGGUAGGGGGCAAGGGGAGGGAGAUCAUUAGGACAAAUACUUAAUGCAUGAGGUACCUAAAACGUGGAUGCCAGGUGGAUGGGUGCAGCAAACCACCCAUGUAUAGCUACGUAACAUGGCCCAUGUAUAGCUAUGUACUUUUUCAUCAACUCUCAUGUAAUUGGACUUCAUUGUACCUGUUUAAGGGAUAUACUAACACAUGCAAUGUACAGAUGAGUACACUAAAUAUGAGAGAGGUUAAGUAAAUUUUUCAUGGCCACAGAACUAUUAAGUGAUGGAAUUGUAAUUCAAAAUUAGUUCUGAGUGACUCCAAACACUGUAUUCUCCCCUUCUCACUAUGAUGCCUCCCAGAAUAAAUGCUCAUAUUAAUAGCAGUGUGUUUGCAUUUAUUAUCUGAGGAGAUGGUAAUAAUAAGCCUAUAUCAUACUAUUUACCCCCAAGUUAAUGAAAUUUUCCUCCAUAUUCCAUAUGAUGAGCUAAUUAUGCUCUUAUGAGUCAUUGGAAAAUUCUGUUUUAUUCAUUACACUAUUGUUUACUGAGUGUCACCUAUGUACCAGAAAUUGUAGGCACUAAGCAGACUAGCAAGACAAAGUCUCUGCUUUCUGAAACCAGCCUUAAUUUAUUUCUAAUCACUCUGUACAUGUAAGCCAACAUGCCAGAUCACUGGAUCCCCCAAUCAUAGUUUCUGGAAUACAACCCAAAGCCACAUAAGUAUUCUACCAAUGCCCAGAUGGAAUCAUUUCCCUAUAUUAGUAAAUAACACAGAAGUUCUGUUACUUCUAAAUACAAAAUUUAUUUUAAAUCUGUACGCUUCUCUUUGUCUUAACUCCCACUGGAUCCAAGCCAUUAUUUCCUCUUCCCUAGAUUAAUAUCAUAACUUCUCAGCAACCAUUCUCUGUGGUUCCAUGUUUGCUUCUACCCAACCCAUUUCUAACACAGCAAUAUAAACAUCAAUGAAAUUAACUUUUCAAAAAUCUCAAUUUACUCUGGGUUUCUCACAACUUCCAUUUCACUGAUUCUGUAUUAAUCCGUUUUCACACUGCUGUAAAGACAUACCAGAGACUGGGUAAUUUAUAAAGAAAAUGAGAUUUAAUGCACUCACAGUUCCAUGUGGCUGGGGAUGCCUCACAAUCAUGGCAGAAGACAAAAGUCAUGUUUUACAUGGUGGCAGGCAAGAGAGAAUGAGAGCCAAGUGAAAAAGGAAACCCCUUAUAAAACCAUCAGGUCUCAUGAGACUUAUACACCACCACAAGAAUAGUAUGGAGGAAACCACCUCCCUUUCAAUUAUCUCUCACCAGGUCCCUCCCACAAUACGUGGGAAUUAUGGGAGCUACAACUCAAGAUGAGAUUUGGGUGAGGACACAGCCAAACCAUAUCAGAUUUAUUUCCAUUGCUCUUUUUAUACAAACUUUUACUUCUGACAAUGGCCUACCAAGCUCUACAUACCUAGUACCUGCCUAACUCUUCAAACUCAUUACGAAUCAAUCUGCCCACUGCAUACAAUGCUUCAUUCACUCUGGCUUUUUAAAAUUUACGAUCCAGGAAGUCAAGGCUUUUCCAGUUUUCAGUCUUUGGACUUGUUUCUCUGCCUACGCCAUUGUUCCCCUAGCAGAGUCCAUGCCCAUUGGCUUCACUGCAGUAUCCACAGUAUCUGUUAUAGUGUCCAACACAUAGAAGGAACCAGACUAAUAUAUGGAGAAUGAAGGAAUAAAAUAUUAAAGAUUUAAAAGCUUACUAUAAAUCUGUCUCUAGAACAAAAUAAUACUUGGAGCUUUCUGAGAUGAAUAAAAAUACAAAAUGUUUCCAGAUAACAUAUUGAUCAUUAUACAGGUAAUACUCUAAAUGAUCAAAGGGUAGACCAAGAUGAAAAAAUUUUUAAAAAAUACAGAAUCGGGCUGGGCGCAGUGGCUCACGCCUGUAAUCCCAGCACUUUGGGAGACCGAGGAGGGUGGAUCACGAGGUCAGGAGAUCAAGACUAUCUUGGCCAACAUGGUGAAACCCCGUCUCUACUAAAAAUACAAAAACUAGCUGGGCAUGGUAGUGCGUGCCUGCAAUCCCAGCUACUCAGGAGGCUGAGGCAGGAGAAUUGCUUGAAUCAGGGAGUCGGAGGUUGCAGUGAGCUGAGAUUGUGCCACUGCACUCCAGCAUGGGCAACAGAGUGAGACUCUAUCUCCAAAAAAAAAAAAAAAAAAAAAGUAAAGAAUCUAAACUGAAAAUCUUAUUCCAGAUAUUUCCUCUUUUACACAUCCCAACACACAUUGCUGGUUUAUUUAAAUAGCAAUUUAUUCACAUGCUCAUUCAUUUACCUUUUCAUGAGUACAUUUGUUUUUAGUACUACCUCUUAAAAAGAAAAGGUAAAAAAAGUAUUUAUUCUGCUGCCAAGCAUUUUAGCAUGAAGUAGAAAAGUUAUGGCAGGGACAAAAAUAACUCAAGUAUAAAGUUCAGAGCAAAAUGUGGUUUAAGAGCUCUAUUGAUAAAAUGCUUUGGGAGAUCAGAAAGGGGAGAAAAACCUCUGGAGAAGAGAUGGGGUUAUUAGCUAUAUAGUUUCCCCUUCAAAAAGCAAAGAAGGAUAGGAUGUGUGUGUGUGUAUAUACACAUCAAGGUGAGGGACACCAUGAGAAAGUAUACAAGGAGGGAAGUAUGGGGAAAUUUUAUUUUUCUUGGAACAUAAAAGACUUCAAGGAGAAUAGUUUAAAAAUAUAAACAGAUGAGGAUUGAAUUUAAUUAUACACAGUUCCAAAAGGCAUUACCAGGAAUUGGAUUUUAAUUCUGUGAUUAACAAGGAGUCAUGAGCAUUUCUGGAGCAAGGAAUGGGGUCAUCAAAGCACUGCUUGAAACAGUUAAGGUAAUCUUUUUUAAAUUUUUUAUUUUAUUAAAUUAUUUCUCUUUGAGGUACUCACCUAGCAUAACACUCACCAUUUUUAUAUGUAAAGUUUGUUAGUUUUUAGUCAAAUCACAAGAUUGUGCAACUAUCACCAUUAUCUAAUUCCAGAAUAAUUUCAGCACCCAAAAAACUAGCAAAUUGUUUUCCAUAGUAGUUGCAUCAUAUUACAUCAUCACCAGCAAUGUAAGAGAGUUAAUUUCUCCAAAUCCUUGCUAACAUUUGUUAUUAUCUAUCUUUUUAAAAAUUAUAAUAAUUAUACUGAUGUUAUGUGGCAUCUUGUGGUUUUGAUUGGAAUUUUUCUAAUGAAUAAUGAUGUUGAGCAUCUUUUUAUAUGCUUAUUCAACUAGAAUGUCUAUUCAAAUUUUUUGCGAAUUUUUAAUUAUGUUAUAUGUCUUUUUACUGUUGAGUUGUAGGAGGUUGUUUUAAUAUAUAUUUGGACUUCAAGAUCCUUAUUAGAGAUAUGAUUUAUAAAUAUGUUGUCACAUUCUGUGGUUUGCUUCAUCAUUUUUUUGGUAGUGGCCUUUGAAGCACAACAAUUGUUAAUUUUGAUAAAGCCUAAUUAAUUUAUUUUUUCUUUGGUUUCUUCUGCUUUUGAUGUCAUAUCCAAAAUCCAUUUUAUAAUCUAAGAUUACUAAGAUGUACACCUUCCUUCAGAUCUGCCAAAUAAAAGUCAUUUAUAAAAGUUUUUAUUUUGUUUGCUCUUAUAGUCAAUAGCUGUCAUAUUGUUAGACUACUUAGCUUUCUCUAUAGUUCAGUAAUAAGGAUGAGUAAAUGGUUGUGUUUUCUAAGCCAUUUUUCACCGUGAAACUAAGUUGGUUAUUCAUGAGUGCUACUGAUCCCUCAACAGUGACCAUCAGAGAAUAACAAACUAUACUGAAGUGCAAACGCUGGAUGUUUGGCUGAUUUAUUAAUUCACAAUGGUCAACCUCAAGAUGUGCACAGUUUAAAUUCUUGUUGAAACAAAAUUAGAAAUAACAGUAAGCGAGGGAUCUAAAGAGUUGUUCUGAAAUAUGCCAAACCAUGACUGUUCUAUCCCCAAUCAUUAUAACAUUUUUAACAAGAGUGAUGUCUUUAAUCUCUUUUCCUCUCUGUCCCUAGAGUUAGAAACAGUUUGAUAUCAGUAGAGUUGGCCACAUAGCACAUCUGUGGUCUCUGAGCAAGUGUUUCAUUUUUAUAAUCCCUCCGGGUCCCCAAAAUUAGAGUCAGAAAGAGAUAAUAAAUUUUCCCUCUACUUACUAACUGUGUGAUUUAGACUACUUAAUCUCAUCAAGGGUGUCCUUGUCUGUAAAAUACAGGCAAUGAUACUUACCUUGUGGAAUGGCUGUGAAGAAGAAACAUGAUAGAAAACAUGUAACCAAAUAUCUGAUACACAAAGCACGUUAUCUAAUGUUGCAAUCAUUUUGUUAUAAAGAUAAUAUAGAGUUAUUCCUUUAUUAGCAUUUUGAAGAAAAAAUUAAGCAUACAAGCUUUUGAAAUGAUGAUGCAAAUGGAAAAUAUGGCCAGUUCAAAUAUUUAUGCUCAUAAAGCAAAAUAAAUUUCUUUGUCUUUUUCUUUCUACUGGUUAGUUCUCUGUUCUUUUUAGGUCUUAGGAGUCAGGAUACAAAAUGAAAUGCACAUGGAAUUGUGUAACGUUUUGUGAUUAUUACUUUCUUCAAGUUGGGGCAAUGGCCACAAAUACAUAAGGAUACUGGGGGUUCUGUGUGUACUUGAAAUUUACCAUCUACAAGGUUACCUUAUUCCCAGGGCAAAAGAUACCCACAGGGUGCUUUUGGACUCACCCUUAUCAAAGUCUCACCUCUCACUGAGAUAGGAAAAUACUUUCUAGAUGGAAGUCAGUACCCUACAAUAAUAAUAGCUGGGCUUUCUCUGUGUUACUGAGAGAUGGCUAAUCCAUUCUAGAUGGGGAAUCUUUGGGCCCCUUACCUUAUUGAGAUGUUUAGUUGUUCCCACUAAAGCUAUGUGAAUUCAUCACGGACCUUAUCUCAUAUGUUCAACACCAAAAGAGCACAUAUCCUUACUUGAAGUCAGCAGGAGUUUUCAGAAAAAGAGGAACAGUUGGACAUAACAGAUUAAAGGCACGAACGUCAACUCGUCCUUCUGUCUCCAUGGUCUGGAUGACUCUAUCCAUUUAGUAGCAAAUGUUGAGGAGUAAUUAUCUUUCCACUAACUUGCUUUCAAAUGCCAGGAGGUUAUAAAUAUUCUUAUGGGAACGAAACAGCUUGAAGAGAUGUAAAAAGGAAAUAAGAGGAAAGAGUGAUUCUCUUCUGAUGCCAACUAUUAUCUAUGCCCCAUGGUCUUGAAAUUUAACUGCUUAAGGUGUCUCAGUUUCCUCACCAACAACAUGAAAAAAAUCAAGUAUAAAACUUUUAAGGUCUCUUACAGCAUGUGAGUAAUUAAGGAGAAAUAUUCUUUGCCUUAUCAUAAAAUGAAUGAGAUUAAAUGACAUCAACGUAUAUUCCUGGCCAGUAAACAGCAACCAAAAGGAGAAAAAAAAUCAGUGAUGAGUAACGAUUUUCAAGAAAUGCUCAUUGAAAUGGAUAACAAGAAGCAUUCAACAAGAGCUCAAGAUAAAUGAAUGUUAAUGAACUACAAAAAGGGCUCAGGAUUACUUAUUGAAGAGAAAAGCAAGAGUAAUAGGCCUCAGGCAUUUUGCCCUACUUAUCCCUGGUACUGCAAUGCUCCCAUGGCUUUUCUGAUUGAACUACAGUGAGGAUAUUUUAGAGGAGACUUGGAUUGAUGCAAGUACUUUCAACAAUACUAAAUAAUGUAAAAUUUACAGGUAAGUUAAAUGUCUUGUAUUAUGUGACUAAUUUCAGGGAGGGGAUUUUUGAAGACAGUUUUCUCCACUAGUAUAUCACAUAACUGCGUUCUACUUGAUCUGUUGUGAAACUGGUAAACAUUGUCUUCACUGUUAGCUGAACUCCUGUAGUCUAUAGCACAACGUUUAGCACUUUAUAAUUUAUGAGCAUAGCUUUUUUGUGUGUAUUUUCACCACCAUUGACCUUUGUAAGUUCCUUGAUGGCAGUUAACAAAUUUGGUUCUACUAUGUUAUUCUCACCAAGACCUAGCUCCAGUCUGGUCAAGGAAAUAUUGAUCCAAAAACAAUUGUUAAUUAUCUCUCAACAUUAUGGAGUCAAGAAACCAGUCAAAAUAAACAGACAUUUGGGAAAGGACUAUUCUGAAUGUGCUCACAUUGGGAAUUCUCCCUCCAUGCUAAAUCAUUAUCCAGUUGACAGAGUCUUUGGAAAAAAUAUUAUCCUGCAUUCACAAUGAAGAUUCAUUUUUUUAUGCACUUGUAUUGCUUCUUCCACCACUGUGACACGGUUCGAAGUUUUCCUUCUAUUCUUUUUCAUGUUACUAGAAUCUGCAUAGUCCCUAUGGAUUUAUAAAAAAUUCUACCAAUAAUAUCACUAUUCAUUAUGUUCAGCUCAGAUUUUCCUGGGAACAUGUAACACUCACAAUUUGGCUUCUAAUAUAUCACCCAAAGGAGAGAUGACAGUUUGAAGAUUAUCAAAAUUCAGGAAUCUUGUUUCUACUGCACUUCAUUAGGUGUAUGUGAUGAGGUGUGUGGGGGAGGGAAUGAUUGGAUAUAUGUUGUGUGUUUUGGAAAGCCACUUUACCUCUCUUUCAAUGUUUUUGUCCAUCAAAUAGAGAUUAUAAUACCUUAUCCAUCAUUCUUGGUGGUUGUGGAGUUCAGGUGAGAAAUGAGGUACAGUGCAAUAAAAACUAACACUUAACUAUGGCUAUUAAUGCAAUGUUAUAGGUUAUUUAUUAUAAAUAAUUGUUUAGCAUCUAUAUGGUUUUGCCUUUUAAAUCAUAAUGGUAAAAUAAAUGUUAAAAAUGACAUUUUAAUGUCAGACAGCUGUGGACACAAUAGCUCAUUUAUUUACUAAGUACGUGAGCUUGGGCAAGUUGCUUAAUUUUUUUUUUUAUGCCUUGGUUUUUUCAUGUUUAAGAGUAAGAGUAAUUGAGUUUUCUGAAAGUUUAACUGAGAUAAUGCACUCAUAUUAUUUAGUGUGGCACAAAGUAAAGACUGAAAUAUCAGAUAUCAUUAUUGAUUUGGAAAAGUAAGUGGAAGGAAUAGCCUUGAUACAAACUUCCUUUUAUAGCAGAUUUGAACAAUAGCAGCAACAUUUAACAUUUUUAAUUAAUAAAACCUUAAGUAAAGUUUCAUUUAAGUUUUAAAUUUGUAGCCUUAGCCACAAUCAGCAUCUGAGAGGACAAGGAAGUGCUGUUUACAAUUUAAAAACAUAUUCUUUCUAAGCGUGUUGAUGGUGUUGUGGUCUGCAGCCAUAAAGUGCAAGAGCCAAGGGGAUUUGACUGUCUCAUCCUAUCUAUGAUCUGCCCAUUUGGGAGUCCAACUCAGCCUCUGAGAAUCAAGUUCUCCCAUGUCCAUUGUAGGCACUGCUGGAACAUAAGAAGAAAUAGAUCAAGCUCAUCAAAUCAAAUACUCUGAAUUCAAUCCCUUCCUCGUCAUGCAAAAAAAAAAAAAAAAAAAAAAAAGGUCUAUUCUGUAUAAUCAUUUUGGAUUUCGAUGAGACUUGCAUAAAGCAAAGAAGGAAAAAAAAAAACAAAACAGGUGGCAGUAGUUCAUUGGAAUGCAAAGGUGCUAACCAGGGCCUCCUUUCAUCUAGUAAUUGCCUCAUGGUUCACAAUUACUAUCUAUGCCAAUUAUAACAAGAUAAAUGUCUUUCCAUGUGGUAGGGACUGAAAGACAGCUGCUUGUUUACAGCCAGUCGUUGAAGUGUCUGUAAUUGUCUGAGGUUUUUAAUGCAAGAUAGAAACAUUUAACAACAACAACAAAAAGAAGGUAUCCCUGUGACUGACACAAAUUAAGAUGUGAAACAUAGAUCAUCAUGCAACUGCGACUAUGAUUGUAUUGCCCAUUAGCAAACUGGAGAUUUCAUUAGCAGCACAGCCCCUUGAAGAUCUAAGACAAAAUUGAUGUGAGUGAAAUGCAGAAAAAAUAUUAGAUAGAAGGUGAUGAAGAAGAGAGCUUUAGGGAGGUGGAGGGAACCCAGUUGCGGCAAGGAAGUGUGCAUUAGACAUUGAAUUAUGCUUCAAUUUUAAUCUUUCCACCUACACUCCUUAUGGUCUCUCCAUGUGGCUCAUUUUUGUUCUGACUUUUAAGUUAAGCAACUUAACAUUGUAAAUUAGAGAAAAUUUUGUUUUGUGUAGGAACAUAAAGUUAGAUGCCUGUAAAGGGACUCAGAGGUCAGCUUUUGGUGAUUGUGUAUAUCAACUGACAAAUAGACCUUUGAGCAUAUUUGCUCUCUAGGUUGCCACACCUGGUUUCUAGUCUCAUGGAAGGUCUUUAUAUUGGAUUACAAGAACAUUGUGACUGCAAUUCACAACUAAGUAUUUCAGAAACCCAACAGGUUUGCUAUCAUCUGACAAAGAUAUAUCAUCAUGGAACAAGUAGUUUGUCCUAUAUCAAAGAGGAGAUAUACAAGACAAAUAAAGAUUAAAUAGUACACUCUUAUAACUGUAAACCAUUUUAGUUGGAAAGAGAUUAAAGCUCUUUCUGCAUCUUUUCUUUAAUUUAGAGAUCUGUGCUAGUGAAUUUAGGUGAGUAAAUUCUUGUCAUCAUAUUUUGAUUUGGGAAAUUUAUCUUUUAACAUAGUACAGCUGCAGAAGGCCAACAAAUCAGAUCCACAAAAUUUUCAAAAGUGUACAUAUACUUAAGUAGAUCAUAUGUGUCAGUGUUUGUGAAUCCAUAAUUGUGUGACUAUAUGUAUUUGAGUGUAUGAGUACAAGCGUGAGGCUGUGAGUAUAUGUUUGUGAGCUGUGUGAAUAUUAAGUGUAGGCUUCCAGUCUGUUAGUGUGUUUGUACAUAUUCAUAAAUGUGUUUGAGUAUAUGUGUAUGUAUGAAAGUAUAUGUGAGUGUGUAUGUUUAUAUAUGUGUAUGAGUGUGUGCACAUUUCUGUGUAUGUUUGUGUAUGUAUCUGGUCUUGGAUUAUAAUUCAACCACUUAUUGAUGGUAACUUCUCUAAUCUGUUAAUGAUAAUGUGACAUAAUGUAUGUAAUAAUCUUUAUAAAAUCUAGAGUACUAUGCAAGUCUACUUCAUUAUUACAGAUACAUAAAACAUACUAUUUUACAGCUUUAAGACCGGAACAGUACUGUAUGGCAAUCACUAUACUCUCUGAAUGCCUGUAUGUAGUCAGAAAAUGCAGUCUAAAAUGUUUAUCCAUAUCUGAAAUGUAACUUUUAUAUCCUUUCUCUCAUUCCUAAUUCAUAAGACUUCCUUUCCUCGUAUUUCUGAGAAGAUAUCUUUACAACCAUUAAAAAUGAGCUCUUCUGCCUAGUCUAUUUUUUUCCCUUUACUUGGGACCAGUAACUAUAACCAACCUUGCUAUAAGAAUUUCCCAUUAAUAGUUUGCAGUUGUGGAAGAAGCUGCUCCUCUCUGUGUGCAAACCUGGAACAAGAGUUGCUUGUACAUAUAUAAAAGCAGUUCAAAUACGAUGGUUCUCCUUUCUUAAAAACAUAGUUAAAAUUAUCCUUUUGCAGGUGACCUCUUGAAUUCUAAAACAAAUUCCUUUUAAUGGCAAUCUUUUCCAUGAGAUUCAAUUUAAUGUUUUUUAAACCCAGGUGGUGUGAUGGUGUGAGUAUAUCUGCAUAGAAUAUAGAUAGAACUGUUCUGAGGCAUGCGUUGCUCACUUUAAAAAAUCAAGACAAACAAAAAAGUCUUAAACUAGGAAGACACUCAUGCUUCUUAGAGAUUUAGUUUAGCUUCAAGAGUCAUUAAAUACCAAAGAAGGUGGUUGUAUAUUUAAUCAGUUGGAAUAUUUUGGAUUGAGUUGAGUCAAUAUUAAACCCUUUGAUUUUCUAAAAUGUCAUACUUUGUAUAAAUUGGGGAUGUUGAGAAAGAAGGUGACAAGCAGUGUAUGUACUUUUAGUUUCAGGUUGAGAAGUCUUUCACCACAAGACUUUCCCUUUAUUUGAAGUCCUUUUUCUUGGCUAAAGUAUGGAGGCUGAAUAGUCUGAUCAAAGUCUAAGAAAACUGCUGCUGUGAAAUGUGUGUUUCAGCUGAGAACUGCUGUUGAGAGACUGUCAUUCAGUUUUAAGCACAAUGCUAAAUUAAUUCAGUGAAACGUUGAUUAGUUCUUAGCUAUAUGUAAAAUCUCGGUCAAUGUUGUUUUUGCUUUUGUGCAUGUGUACACUUGAAAGACCUCAGGAUGCUUUAUGUAGUAGAUAUUCAGUAAAUACUCACUUAUUCACUGCCUGACUAAUCCCACGUUUCUUGAUUUUUUUAAAUAUGCAUUCCUUUGAAAAUUUGGCAGAACCAUUUCCUAGAAAAAGCCAUGUAUAAACACAUACACAGUGAAGAAUUAGAGAUCUCCUAAUACCUCUCUGUGGAUACACAGAGAUUCAUCAACCCCCAUGUACAUCCCCUAAACCAGUUCAAGUCAUACUUUUUUUUUUUUUUUUUUUUGAGACAGAGUCUCACUCUGUUGCCCAGGCUGGAGUGCAGUGGCGUGAUCUCGGCUCACUGCAAGCUCUGCCUCCUGGGUUCACGCCAUCCUCCUGCCUCAGCCUCCCGAGUAGCUGUGACUACAGGGGUCCGCCACCACGCCCGGCUAAUUUUUUUGUAUUUUUAGUAGAGACGGCACCAUGUUUAGCCAGGAUAGUCUCCAUCUCCUGACCUUGUGAUCCGCCUGCCUCGGCCUCCCAAAGUGCUGAGAUUACAGGCGUGAGCCACCGCGCUCAGCCUCAAGUCAUAUUUUAACACAAGCAGAAACUGAAACCAAAAGAUCAAAUCACUAAUGGAGGCCUGGUAUCAAAUAGCAAGUAGUUUCUGUGGUAAGCUGGGGAGUGUAUAACCUCCUCUAAAAGGGUUUCCUUACUUCAUUCUAGCCAAUUUUUGGCAGGUAGGAAAGUCAGUCCAGCGCUCUCAGAUUUCCUGGUAUGUUAAGAGAAGCCUAAAAUAUUGUUUGUUUAAAUGCAAAAUUUCUUAAACAGUGACGACUAACUCCAGUUAUUUACAAAAUAUUGUGUUGACCACGCAAGCUGUCCUAAUAGCCUAUUUCUGGUAGUAGGCCAAGAGUUCAUUAUUACUGUUCCAAAUAUUAUACUUUAUAUAUGUUUAGAGUUUGUCAUUCACAUAACAAAUAUUCGCUAAGCUUUAUUAUAUUCAAAAUCUUAGGCCUCGCUCUGUAAAAUGUGCGAGGGUGAAUACAGGAAUAUUUGAUAUCCCUGAACUUAACACAGAAGUGUUAAUACUUUGUACACAAAAAAGGUCAUGCAGAUAUUUAUGUGGGGAAAACACAUAAUAAUAUGGAAACAAUUUUUAGAAAUGAAACAAAACAAGAAGACAGUGUUCUGAGUUCUCUGAAGGUUUGCUGAAUUUCUAUCACGUUAAUCAAUUUUACCUGGCAUGCAGUAAGGUUAUAUACGACCCCUGUGGAGUCCAUAACUGCCCAGCCAUAUGCAGAAGAAUGAAACUAGACCCUUGCCUUUCACCAUAUACAAAAAAAUAAGAAGGAUUUAAUGAUUUAAAUGUAAGAUCUCAAACUAUAAAAAUCUUAGAUGGAAACCUAGGAAUACCCAUCUUGAUAUCGAGCCUUGGCAAAGAAUUUUUGGCUAAGUCCCCAAAAGCAAUUGCAACAAAAACAAAAAUUGACAAGUGGGAUCUAAUUAAACUAAAGCUUCUGUACAGUGAAAGAAACUAUCAGGAGAAGGGAUGAGGGGAAGUUGAGAGUGACCUUCUCUUUCCUCUUGUUUUUUCAAAUGCCAGGGUGCCAUAUUUGGGGUUAGUAUGUCCUAAACUCCAUCAACAUUUUAAUUAAAACACUUUAGGGGGAUGAGAUUUUUUCAUGCUGAGUGUAUGUAUGUAUGUGUGUGCACAUGUUUCUAGUUUAUAUAAGUAAAUGUACAUUUCUUGUGUUUCUGAGUUUAUGAGCUUGCACAAGUCACCUAGUGACAGUCUCUAAAUGUUAGAAUUGCCAACGGUUUCCUUAAAUAUUCUAUUUUUGAUUCUCUGUCAUUAGAACAAACCAGUCUUCAUCUUGUAGAGUACAUGAUAGUGCCAGACUUAGAAGUAGGCAGCGACAAAACUUUAAGCUGAAAUUAGAACUGGGAGAAGCAAAUAAAGUGAGAACAAGGCUAAGGAAACACCUCACCCAAGGAAUUUAUAACCUGGUGGGAAAUUAGCAUUGAAAAUGUAAAUGAGGUUAGGGAAAUUAAGAGGAUUAACUGGCUUAUAGGGAUUUAUACAAAAAUAAAGAGAAGAUCACUGAAAACCUUUGGGAUCUGAUCCCCCUCAACAGAAUUAAAGCUGGUUUUUAGAUGUGUGUGUAUUUCUCUUGUUUUGCUGCUACUUCUAAUUUGAAGGUAUUGGAGCAGCAAUGACAAAUUGUUCUCAGAGACUAUAUUUGCUCUGCGUACCUAAAUGUGCCACCUAUGUCCAGAGGCGCACCUGAGGAGGCUUGCCUGCCUGACUGCUUUCUUGUGAUUUGAAUUGUUACGAAUGGCAGCUGGCUGGGAUUCCAUUCCCAGUGUUUUUAGAUUGUCUCGUAGACACAGACAACAUGUUAGAAAUAAUAAUUUUUGUGCAUAGUUCUUCUGUGGUGGUUGGACGUUUUCGUCAGUGUUGACUGAAGAAUAAUUGAGCUUUAGGGCAUAUCAUCUAAAAAAUGUAAAACCACUCAAAAAGGAGGAAAUAAAUGUGGGUAAAAAUCCAGGCAAACAUGAAUGCAUACUUACAGACUGACCCAAUUAUCUAUUUAGUGGGUGCUGCCUACACAGCCAAAACACCUAACUGGAUAGAUUAGAGGGAAGAUUAAAUUAAGUACUCCGAAUUCAGGUGUACUUCAAAUUAAAGCCAGUCCACUCACCUACUAUAUGUGUUAUCUUGAGCAAUUUAGCUUUUCUAAGUCUCAGUUUUCCUAACUAGAAAAGGGAAUUUGUUGGGUUGUUUCAACAAUUAAAUGCAAUUAAAUGAGAUAGUAUGAGCAAAUGUCUUAGUGCGUGUGUGUGUGUGUGUGUGUGUGUGUGUGAAAGGAAAAGAAGUAAGAAAGUUCAGCAAGCAUGUAUGCUAGAUGGCCAAAAACACAUAAAGAAAAUCUAGGGUCAGGCACAGUGGCUCACACCUGUAAUCUCACACUUUGGGAGGCCAAGGCAGGAGGAUCACUUGAGCCCAAGAGGUUGAGGCUACAGUGAGCCAUGGAUAUGCCACUGCACUCUAGCCUAGGUGACAGAGUGAGACUUGGUCUGAAAAACAAAACAAAAAAAUAAAUAAGAAAAUUUGAUCAAUCACUUUCCAUUGAGGCAUUAUCAGAAAAAAAAAAACCCAUCAAAGAUAGGUAAUUGGGAAGAAUGCAUCUAAUCAAGUGACAACCAUGAAUCAGGAGUUGAUUUAGAAAUAUUUUCUAAUUUAAUUUAUAAUGCAACGAGUAGAUAAUAUUUUGUUUCUCUUGUACAGAAAGGGGCAACCUGAGAGAAAAAAGCCUUUGAUGGCCCAGCCUGCGUAAGGAAAAGUUAUGAAAAACUUUUAAAUGGAUCAAAAAGAUUACUGGGUAUUUUGAGCACAAAACUAGGCAUUGUUUAAUUGGGUACCACUCCAGGUUAUUUGCUUCUAUUGUGUUUGAGCCUUUCAUUGUCUUUGAGCUAUCUUAUAAGUCUAUAAAUUGUAAAAACAGUGAUGCAAAUGUUUUGUGCCCAUAAAUGUGCAAUUGAAUUCUUUCCUUUGAAGCAACAAAUGAUUUCUUGACCUUCCCCCGCUAGUGAAAAAUCUAAUUGUGUAUCUAGUCAUAAAUUUAUUUAACCAGUUCUGUUUGAAUAUAUACGUGUGAUACUUUGAAAUCUCUUUUCAAACUACUGUGACAUCAUUUAGGUUUCCUUAUUAAUGAAUGAAUUAAAUAAAAUCUUUGACAUUAUUUUAUAUUUGUAUUUAAUUCAUGAUUUUACCUGUUUAAAAAAUGCUUCCUUCAACACCUGUGUUGGUUGGUGCUGAAUUUGAACCUCAGUCUGAUGUUAAGACAAAGAGAAACAAAAAUCUAAUUUAAACUUCUUUUUCCACCAGAAGGAGAGCAGAUUCCAGGUUAUUAUCAACCCUUUGAAUUAUUGAAUCUUCUUGCAUCAGCAUAAAUAGUUACAGGAACCCACUACAAAAGACCCUAUGGGUUUCUUAAAAUGAAGUAACAGUUCAAGGACAUCUGGAGCUGAGAGAAAGGAAGAAAGUGAAUGUAAAUAAUGAUCAGAAAUUCUGUUCCCUUUGGGUCAUUAUUCACCUUUCCAAGUCAAUUUAUCUGCUAUAAUGCCUUGAAAACACUUUUUAAUCAUUGCCUAGCAUCUUAAAAAAUCUAAGAUAUUACCUGAAUUAAGUCAAAAACCCAGAAUGAAUUUAAGAAUGAAGGCUACUUGAAUUUCACAUGCCUCUGAAAUAAUUACCAAAGAGUUUAUUUCUGACCAUAAUUAUUGAAUAAUUAUUCACAUUCCAACCCUCAUAGAAAUCUCUUACCUUCUGAUAUUUUUUGUCACCAUGUUUUUUUUUUAGAAAAACAACAAAAGACAAAAUUUUUAAAGGAAGUUUUAGCCAAUUUCUCCUAAACGUAAAUUCCAAGGAGUUUGUAUAGUUACAUUUCUAUAUUUCAAGAAUGCAGAGUCCUCUAAUGGGCUCUAAUAUUUAUGAGUUUCCCUAAUCUUAAUUUUCUAUCAUUUCUCUUAACUGGUAAAUAUUUUGUCUUUCUGCCUACAGAUAGUUUCAAGAAUGUUACCACUAUUUUACCUAAAGCAUGCACAGAUUACAUUAUUUAAAUUAAUAUUUUAAAUUCGAAUUUCCAUUCAAUUCUACAUAUUUAUUGUCUAAAAAUACUUAGCUCUUUGGUUUCAGUUUCCUUAUUUGUAAACAAGUAGAUUUGGUUUAGAAAAUGUAUUAUUCCCAAUUCUAACAUUUCAAUUAUUUUGAUAAUUGGUCUAUAUAUGUGUGUGAGUGUCUAUUCAUCCUGCUUCACCUCAGUUACGCUCUCCCCAGAGUCCACAUUUAAAAUAUCACAGCCAUUAAAAGGAACACGAUCAUGUCCUUUUCAGGGACAUGGAUGGAGCUGGAAGCCAUUAUCUUUAGCACACUAACACAGGACCAGAAAACUAAACAUCUCAUGUUCUUACUUUUAAGUGGGAGUUGAACAAUGAGAACACAUGGUCACAGAGAGGGAAACAACACACAUUGGGGCCUGUUGAGUAGGAGAGGGGAUGCAGGGGGAGAGAGAGCAUUAGGAAAAAUAUCUAAUACAUGCUGACCUUAAUACCUAGGUGAUGGGUUGAGAGGUGCAGCAAACCAUCAUGGCACAUGUUUACCUAUGUAACAACACAGGUGUUGAAGGAAGCAUUUUUUAUUUAUUUAUAUAUUUAUUUAUUUAUUUAUUUAUGUAUUUAUUUAUAUUGAGAUGGAGUCUCAUUCUGUCGCCCAGGCUGGAGUGCAGUGGCACAAUAUCGGCUCGCUGCAAGCUCCACCAAAGGAAGAAUUUUUUAAACAGGUAAAAUCAUGAAUUAAAUACAAUUAUAAAAUACCUAUGUAACAAACUUGCACAUCCUGCACAUGUACCCUG
Molecule: long non-coding RNA, 16495 nt
Filed under: Homo sapiens (human)
Lineage: Eukaryota; Metazoa; Chordata; Mammalia; Primates; Hominidae
Description: HSALNT0362411
Source: RNAcentral